GGCUUAAGAAUUAUGAGCAACACACGAAAACCAGCUGGAGAAAAGCUGCUACAUAUCCAAAUUGUGGAAAAAUUAAUAUUUACAAGGUUGAUCUACGUUGCAUUCAUCUUACAGAUAAAAGAGUCAAGGGAAUAAGAUCUACACGAAAUACAGAUUGUCCAGCAAAGCUUAAUAUUGUCAUUAAAAGGUAUAUAGCUAAAUCUAGAGCUAAAAAUGUAGACCAUCUUGUUGCUGAAUGGCCAGCUAUUGUAACAUUUAAGGCUACGCAUAAUCAUUGCAUUAUUAGUGCAGCAGUUUUAAAAUAUUGUGACAUGUCAGAUGAGACCAGGGCAAAACUUCAGAACCUUUUUCGACAAGGUCAUAACCCUUCAUCGGUCUUGCAUUGUUUAAAAACAGAUUUGUUGCUGGAAAAUCCAGGAAAUUAUUAUGAAAUGGCAGCAGAUACUCAUUAUGUCCCGACAGUUUCUGUAGCACAUAAAUUGUUUGAAAAGGAGUUUUCAAAAGAGUAUGGAUGUUUUACAGGAAAUUUGAUGUUAGAAAAUUUAAAAGCAAAAUUGGAGGAAUACACUAAAACAUAUAAUCAAGGAAGAGCAAAGCUUUACAAAACCAAAGAUGAUAAUCACUAUUUGUGGGGUAUAAAUGCAAAACGCGACAUGUCCAUUAGAUUACAAUUUGAGAAAACUAAAAAAAACCUUUUUCGAGGUUUUCAUUGCUUUAUUGAAAUAAGUUUUAAUUAUUGUUUAAAACUGAAUUGUUAAAUAUGUCUACCCUACCAUUUUGAUGAAUGCAUAAUCAUUAGGCUUCUUUUAAUUUAGAGCUAUAUUUUGGACAUGUCGCAUUCUGAAACUAAGGCUUGGACAUGUCUUAUUUUGCACACAACAAUCGAGCAGAGCAAUGAUAAACCCAACUUACUAAAAUUAUUAGCUCCCGUUUUUUAUUAGGAAAAAAACCAAGUCACUUAGAAAAACUUAUUUUUAGAUAUUAAUUUCUUCGUCACUUAUUAUUUCAUUUUCAUCGGCAUCAACAUGCCUUUCAAAAUUAUUUUCUACAUUGCUGUCGAAAAUAUUUUUGAAAUAACCUAAUGCUUCGUUUGAUUUCAAUUCAUCCCCGUAGUGAGUCUUUAAUAAGUUUGAAAUGCUUUUAAUUUUAUCUUCUUUUAUUCUCAGUCCAACUUGGAGUGUUUUAGGCCUUACUGCUUCAAUUCGCUUCCCUUUUCUACAAAUACCUUUUGCUUGUCCUAAAUCACUCCUGUAUAAUGCUUCGCCUCUGACUAAAACCGUGCCUAAUUUAUUUUUGGUUAGAACGAAUCUUUUUGCUGGUUUAAAUUUGAAGUGCCAUUGUGUAGUAGGUUUUAAAGUUUUUUUAUUUCAGUUUUCCAGUCGAAAACCUGAAAAUCUACACCCAUUUUAAAAACUGUUGCCCGAUCUUUUAUCAUGUUCACGUAAUGAGAAGGUUCUAGGAUCUCCGCAGUUCUUCGGACUACUUUUUCGAUAUUGCCGAAAACUCUGUCAUAAAAGAAUGACCUACUACAGGGAAAAAUACUUGUAUCUCUUCAAUGUUCGGAGGCGCGUUGGAAUUAAACCAGUUGCAAAGCAUUCCGAUAAAAAUCGAAUUCUUAUUCUGCUUCCCACAACCAUCGCAGAAAAGUCGAAUGAUUUUGUUAGUAGCUUUAAACUCAUACGUACUUAGAGUAUGAUGAAUAGCAGAUGCAAUCUCAUUGGAGCUCUUGGGUCUUUCGACUUCUGUCCAUGUUAUAACACCUUACGUUUUCUUUUGUUAAUGGUGAUUUUGAACUUCCUAUGACAACUCCAAAAUUAAAAAAGUUAAUUUGCAUUGAAAAAUAGGCCUGCUGAUCGGGUAAUUUCGGUAGGGGUAAAUUUUUUUGACAGUCUAAAGAAAUAUUUACUACUUCAUCGGAGUUUUGUUUGAGAAAAGCAAAGAAGCUUUUGGCUUGAAGAGUAUGGACUCUGUGAUUUGUAAUAAAUGACUGCUUUUCCUUAGGAUCCGUGCAUCUCCUAAUUUUUUCUUUAUAUUGAAGACAGGUUGAACAAAGAUCUGUUUGAGGUGUUCCGAAUCCAACGUUGUAUUUCCUAUUAAAAUAUUUUCGAAAGUAGCACUGCUUCACUUUUUGAUCAGGCUCAGCUUGUUCGUUGUAGACAUUCCAUAGUUUUUUUAUGUUUAAGUCACAAGGCAAAUAAACACGAUGUGGACUAUCAUAGCGGCAAUAGUGACUUUCGGUGCACCUUAAUGAUUCAAUGAAUGUCUUCAUGCAAACCUUUUUGUCAUCGUUUUUCCCCAUAACACGAUCACCGCCACGAUUCUCCUUUGGCGCUGUUCCUGUGUUUAUAAACUUUUUCACCAGGCGCAAUAUUCUGUCCUUUUUCACUCCUAAGAUACCCAGAAAUGCCUCCCUACAUACUUGAACUGCUUUACCGUCUUGCUUUCGUACCUUAUAGGUUAAAGACACUGCUUUUGGCUUACUAGCAGCACGCCCUCUACUUCUUUUUCUUGCAGGCGUGGAUCCUGAGCAAUAACUUAAAAGAAAUGCAUCUUGGUCAGCUUUCUUCUUGCUUGAAUAAAAACUUCUAUGAAACUCCUUCAUAUCGUUCAUGGUAAGAUGCCAGCAUAGAAAUGGUCUAUUACUUUCCCUAUGUCCACAUUUGGGAAAUUCUGGUAAAGAUUUAGGUGAAUAUCUGAAACAAAAAAAAAAAUAAGCUCAGCUUGAAAUAGCUUUGCCGAUUGCUCGAUUUUUUUUAUGAAUUUGUUUCUAUAGGUUGGAAUAGUCGUAGAAAAUAUGCAUUACAUUAUUAAUAAUUUAAGCAAUUUUAAUUAUUUCUCAAACAAUAAAAACUCGGCAAAGAAUUAAACAAAAACUUCAGCAACAUUUUUAAAUAUUAUUAAAAGGGCAAAUAUUUAUGAGAAAAAUAUUAAUAUCACAGUCAUUUAACGUAUUGUAAACAUUUAUUGCGUUUCUUAGUUAACUAUUUAUUUAUUUUUAUACUUGGUCUUAACUUACCUUCCUACUUUAGCUUUUUCCCUUUUCCAUUCUUGUGGUUGAAAAGAUCUUUUUCGAGCUCGAUUUUGGGUAUCCGGCAAGAGUUUCUUGUUGUUAUCGGCCAUUAUAUUUAUAAUAUUUAUGAAAACACAUGCACAGAAUAUCAACAAAUUUCACCCUCGUACUUGCAUGCUUGUAAAGAAAAAAAUAAUAAUACGUUUAUACUAAAACAUACGAUUUAUCAGGUGUUAGUAAGCUGCUCGCUGAUUGGUUGUGUGGACAACGUCGCAUUUUGAAUCUCAAAUGCAGGUUGCGAUGUCGCAUUUUGCGUUUAACCGAAAUUUUUAACGAGCCUUUAAAAGCGUAAAUCUCGUGGUUUGCAGGCAAAUAUAUUAGUGGCAGAUAGAGAAAUUUAUACACUUUCUGGGUGCACAUGAAGGUCAUUUUCGUUGAAAAAUGGACAUGUCGCGUUUUGCGUUUAUACCCCACAUUUUAUAGUUUUGUAUACUCCAAUUAUGUCUCGAGCUCAUCAAAACAUAAGUCAAAGUCGAGAGUUGGUAAUGGUCGAUGCUUCUGGUGGAAUGGACAAACAGAGACAUCGAGUAUAUUUCUUUAUAACGCCAACAGUGGCAGGUGGCUUGCCACUUGGAGUCAUCAUAACUGAUACUAAAAAGGAAUAUGUUUUUGAUGAAGCAUUACAGGAAAUGAAAAAUAUAUUACCGCCUGACUCAUUUUAUAAACAAAGAUACCCUACAGUAUUUUUAACUGACAAUGACCUGAAAGAAAGAAAUCCCUUAAAAAAAUGUUUGCUGGUUCUGUGCUUUUGUUGUGCCAAUUUCAUUUUUUAAAAGCAUGUUGGACUUGGUUAUGUGACACCAAGCAUGGCAUUUUGCAAUCUAAUCGACAAGAGCUAUAUUUCAUGAUAAAAAACCUUGUUUAUGCUUUAAAUGUAGAAGAAGCUUUAAAGCACCAUACAGUAAUUCUCAACAGUAAUGUCUCAAAAAAGUAUCCUCUUAUAACCAUUAUUUAAAAUUAUGGAAUUACAAAGAGGACUGGGCUCCCUGUUAUCGACAAGAAUAUAUGUUAAGAGGUAGUAGACACAACAAAUUAUGUAGAGGUGGUUUUCCGAAUUCUAAAGGACUUUAUCCUAAAUAGAGUUAUGGCCUUUAGUAUCAUUCAGCUGGUUGACUAUAUUCUUACUCGCUAUGAAAUGUAUAUGGAAAAAAGACUCAUAGAUUUCACGAACGGUCGAUACCCAAAAGCUAUGUUAAAAAGGAUGUUACCCAAACAAAGAGGCAAUGUGUCCUAUGAGAUUCAGAGAUGUAUUGAUAUGCAGGGUGUUUUUGACCUGAUUUCUAGUGAAAAUAAGAACCAAUAUUGGGUAGACAUUAUUAAUGGUACCUGCUCUUGUGCUAAAGGCACAACAGGCAGUUUAUGUUCACAUGCAUCUGCUGUGAUUCUUCAUAUGCAAGACAAGCUUGAGAGUGGUUUUAAUUUAAUUUCUGAGAAUGCCAAACAAACAAUGUAUUACAUAGCCACAGGAAAAAAGUGCCCUAGUAAUUGGUUAAAGCCGCUGAAAGAAAUUCCUGUCUCCGUAAGCAAUACAGAAAUAUUUGAAAGUAAUAACGUCCUUAGUAACCCAAGUAGUAACGUACUGAAGCCUUUGGUAAUUCCCGAGGAAACUUAUAAAGAACCCUUGAGUACUUUAAUUCAAAAGAAGGAUGAAAACCAUAUUUUUCAGCUAUUGGAUACAGAAAAAAUGGAACUUGAAAAUUGGUUUGAUAGAAUAACAAAAGGUGUACACCAACCAAAUAUUUUUGUCCCAGCAGUGCAAAAAAUGUUGAGUAAUACGAAAAAAUUUGCAAAAACAGAAACUGGUCUUAUUAGUGCAUUACAUACAUUUGGUAAAUAUAGUGGACUUGUACCUUUAAAAAAUGGAAAGAAAACAGCACAAAAUAAACAAUUAAGAAGAAAACAUUCAACCUACAGCAAUUGGUCGACGGUUGACGUUUGGUAAACUCGACUGUUGACGAUUGAACACAAUAAAAGGCUAUUUUUGAAAGAGUUAUUUAUAUCAAGCAACCUAUCAGUUAUUGUUUGGUUAUUUACAUUUGUGGUUGGUGUUUUUGAUUGUUAACUUGUCACAAUUUGUUGACAUCAAAUAAUUUUGAGUGAAUUUAGUUUGAUUUAGAUGCCUAAGCAAAGUUUUGCUUGUGUUAAGUUUAUCAAAAGAUAAAAUUAAAAUUUCAAAAAAUAGUACGUCUUAGUGAGCGAGAGCGAAUAGAGAUUUUGAUGAUGAUUGGUUAUGGAAACAGGAUGCGCACUCAGAUGGAAGUCUGUGAAAUUUAUCAUGCCAAGUAUCCUGAUAGGCCACGUAUAUCUCAAAGUACUGUCAGUAAAAUAGAACAGAAAUAUCGGGAUUUGGGUCAUGUCAGGGAUAAUUAUACGAAAGGUCGGUCAAGUAUAUCAGAAGAGAAACAACUAUAUAAAUGUUUUGCUGGCAGUUGAAGAAGAUUGCCAUAAAACGACUCGCAAUAUUGCGUUAGAAAAUCAGAUAUCCCAGACAUCCGUCGUUAAGUAUUUAGGUAUAAAUAAAUGGCACCCUUACAAAGUUCAAUUGGUUCAUGAACUAAAUGAAGAUGACCCAGAUAGGCGUUUAGAAUUUUGUGAGAGACUUAUGGACUUGUGCCAUGCUAAUCCACAAUUUUUAAAAAAAAUUGUAUUUUCUGAUGAGGCAACGUUUUGUCUUCAUGGUAGUGUAAAUCGGCAAAACUGCCGAUAUUGGGCUACUGAAAAUCCGCACUGGAUGAUGGCGUGCCACAGCCAAGUCCCUCAAAAAGUAAAUGUUUGGGCGGGGGUGAUUGAAAACAGGGUUAUAGGGCCCUUUUUCUUUGAAGGAUACUUGAAUGGUGAGAGGUAUUUAGAGUUUUUAGAAAAUGACUUGGUUCCAUGCCUUGCCACUUUAUACCCCGAUCCAGAAGACCCGGAUAUAUUAGAUAAUUCCUUAUGGUAUCAGCAAGAUGGAGCUCCAGUCCAUUACACUCGUCCCGUGCGCCAGUCCUGGAUACCGUUUUCCCUGGACGUUGGAUUGGUCGGAGGGGUGCAAUUGAAUGGCCGGCCAGAUCGCCGGAUCUUACUCCUUUAGAUUUUUUUUUGUGGGGGUAUCUUAAGUCCAAAGUUUAUGUUAAUCAGCCAAACAACAUUGAAGACUUAAAAAUUAGAAUAACGGAAGAAAUAAGAUUGAUAGAACCUUCUGUUAUCGAUAACGUUUUACAAGAAUUUCAGCAUCGACUGGGAUAUUGCCAAGAGGUUCGUGGCAGCCAUUUUCAACACUUAAUAAAUUAAUUAAAAUAUUUUUAUGUAUUCUUGCUUGAUAUAAAUAACUCUUCCAAAAAUAGCCUUUUAUUGUGUUCAAUCGUCAACGGUCGAGUUUAGGUAUAGGACAUGGUACAUGAAAUGUACUUAGAAUUUGAUGUAGAACCUAAAUCUAAAAUAAAAAAUAGGUGUUUACAUUUAAAAAAAUUACGUUGAUGACCGUAACUUAUUUUUGGGCCACCCUGUAUACAUAAAAUUAUAGUAAGAAAACCUGCAGUUAAAAAUAAAAAUCGACAUGUCCGAGCGUUUUUUUUUGAACAUACCCCUGAAUUUUAAAUGAAUUUAUUCCAACCUUUACGUUCGCACUGUAUAUAUAAAUAUAGAAAAAUGUGUAAAUUCUUAAUGAUUAAAGUUUAAGUACACCGGACAAAUAUAUUUGUAUUUUAAUUUGAAUAAAAAAUCCUGGUCUAAAA
Molecule: long non-coding RNA, 6783 nt
Filed under: Anthonomus grandis grandis
Lineage: Eukaryota; Metazoa; Arthropoda; Insecta; Coleoptera; Curculionidae
Description: uncharacterized LOC126734916
Source: RNAcentral